CAAAGCUGAAAUUCUUCUUAAACUAUUCCCUG
Molecule: transfer RNA, 32 nt
Filed under: Canis lupus familiaris (dog)
Lineage: Eukaryota; Metazoa; Chordata; Mammalia; Carnivora; Canidae
Description: partial tRNA-Pro
Source: RNAcentral